UACGAGGGGGGCAAGCGUUGUUCGGAAUUAUUGGGCGUAAAGGGCGCGUAGGCGGCCUGGCAAGUGGAAGGUGAAAUCCCUCGGCUUAACCGAGGAACUGCCCUCCAAACUGCUUGGCUUGAGUCCGGGAGAGGUGAGUGGAAUUCCCAGUGUAGCGGUGAAAUGCGUAGAUAUUGGGAGGAACACCAGUGGCGAAGGCGGCUCACUGGACCGGAACUGACGCUGAGGCGCGAAAGCGUGGGGAGCAAACGGG
RNAcentral lists this ribosomal RNA (253 nucleotides) under uncultured bacterium. Its description in RNAcentral is "partial 16S ribosomal RNA". It matches the Rfam family "Bacterial small subunit ribosomal RNA", at positions 524 to 776 of the family's 1533-position model. The record is from RNAcentral.